This is a non-coding RNA of Pelobates cultripes (western spadefoot toad), 229 nucleotides long. The record is from the annotation of a GenBank genome assembly. NCBI's taxonomy places the organism in Eukaryota, Metazoa, Chordata, Amphibia, Anura, Pelobatidae.
AUACAAUAAUAGCACCGAAUAUGUUUUCUAUACAUAUUGUUAAUAAAAGGAUAAUAAGUUAUUACCCGAUUCCUUGCUAUUUUUCCAUUAAAAAAAAAUGCUAUUUAGUGGUUCACGUUUUAUCUUUAAACAUUUCAUCUUCAGUUUUUUCAUUAAAUCACUAUUUCUAGAAUUUAUUUUGGGGGAGUCGGACCUUUGUUUUGAUAAUAUACAGCCGCUUGUUUAUUCU